Molecule: ribosomal RNA, 715 nt
Filed under: bacterium enrichment culture clone PCE10_H3
Lineage: Bacteria
Description: bacterial SSU rRNA
Rfam family: Bacterial small subunit ribosomal RNA
Source: RNAcentral
CCAUGCCAAGUCGAGCGGAUGAGUGGAGCUUGCUCCAUGAUUCAGCGGCGGACGGGUGAGUAAUGCCUAGGAAUCUGCCUGGUAGUGGGGGACAACGUUUCGAAAGGAAGGCUAAUACCGCAUACGUCCUACGGGAGAAAGUGGGGGAUCUUCGGACCUCACGCUAUCAGAUGAGCCUAGGUCGGAUUAGCUAGUUGGUGAGGUAAAGGCUCACCAAGGCGACGAUCCGUAACUGGUCUGAGAGGAUGAUCAGUCACACUGGAACUGAGACACGGUCCAGACUCCUACGGGAGGCAGCAGUGGGGAAUAUUGGACAAUGGGCGAAAGCCUGAUCCAGCCAUGCCGCGUGUGUGAAGAAGGUCUUCGGAUUGUAAAGCACUUUAAGUUGGGAGGAAGGGCAGUAAGUUAAUACCUUGCUGUUUUGACGUUACCAACAGAAUAAGCACCGGCUAACUUCGUGCCAGCAGCCGCGGUAAUACGAAGGGUGCAAGCGUUAAUCGGAAUUACUGGGCGUAAAGCGCGCGUAGGUGGUUCGUUAAGUUGGAUGUGAAAGCCCCGGGCUCAACCUGGGAACUGCAUCCAAAACUGGCGAGCUAGAGUAUGGCAGAGGGUGGUGGAAUUUCCUGUGUAGCGGUGAAAUGCGUACAUAUAGGAAGGAACACCAGUGGCCGAAGGCGACCCACCCUGGGCUAAUACUGACACUGAUGUGCGAAAA